CUGCGUGAACAAUUUCCCAUGC
Molecule: microRNA, 22 nt
Filed under: Parasteatoda tepidariorum (common house spider)
Lineage: Eukaryota; Metazoa; Arthropoda; Arachnida; Araneae; Theridiidae
Description: pte-miR-11960-3p
Source: miRBase by way of RNAcentral